Molecule: ribosomal RNA, 465 nt
Filed under: uncultured bacterium
Lineage: Bacteria
Description: partial 16S ribosomal RNA
Rfam family: Bacterial small subunit ribosomal RNA
Source: RNAcentral
CCUACGGGUGGCAGCAGUAGGGAAUCUUCCACAAUGGGCGAAAGCCUGAUGGAGCAACGCCGCGUGGGUGAAGAAGGUCUUCGGAUCGUAAAACCCUGUUGUUAGAGAAGAAAGUUCGUGAGAGUAACUGUUCACGUUUCGACGGUACCUAACCAGAAAGCCACGGCUAACUACGUGCCAGCAGCCGCGGGAAUACGUAGGUGGCAAGCGUUAUCCGGAUUUAUUGGGCGUAAAGGGAACGCAGGCGGUCUUUUAAGUCUGAUGUGAAAGCCGUCGGCUUAACCGGAGUAGGGCAUUGGAAACUGGGAGACGUGAGUGCAGAAGAGGAGAGUGGAACUCCAGGUGUAGCGGUGAAAUGCGUAGAUAUAUGGAAGAACACCAGUGGCGAAGGCGGCUCUCUGGUCUGUAACUGACGCUGAGGUUCGAAGGCGUGGGUAGCGAACGGGAUUAGAUACCCCUGUAGUC